Molecule: long non-coding RNA, 2585 nt
Organism: Amphiprion ocellaris (clown anemonefish)
Lineage: Eukaryota; Metazoa; Chordata; Actinopteri; Pomacentridae
Source: Ensembl
AGAUAAUAUAGAAGACAGCGCGCUAGCGUAUCUAGUCUGUGUGUAUCUAUGGUCGGAACGUCUGGUAGCAUCUCUGGCUGCUGUUGACCUUGUUUUUGGAGUAAAACACGGUGGAAGCUGAAUUAGUGAGGAUGACUCCUGCUCCUGUCAUCUCUAAGCUCCUCACACAUCUUUACCUGCACAUGAGGAAAAUCACUCCUGUAGAAUGCAGUGGUUCAUCAGAACCUCUGGGGAUGUCCUGUGGAUCCUGUGGAUCCUGUGGGUUGCAGGGUGGGUCCUACCUAGACCAGACUGAUCCUGGACCAUCCCACAGAUGCUCCAUCAGAUCUGGAUGUGGGGAGUGUGGAACCCAGAUGUUCAGAGGGAGAUGAUGCCACAUCUGGUCCAGCUGAUGGAAGGUCUUGAAGUUCUCUGACUGGCCUCAACUGAAGAUGGUCGUCUCACUGGAUUUAAGGUUCAGAUGCUCAGUAACAAACUCCACCAAUGAGCCAACAGGGAAGCUUUAGGUUUAUUAAAUGUUGCUAUGAAGGUAUCGCUGUUUUUCUUUGUGAAUGCAAUGUGCUCCAACUGAAACUUGAAUUAGAACUUAGAAGUAAAUCCUUCCAUCUGACAGGAUUUAGUUGCAUUAAUAACCUCAUAACAUUCUAAUUUUUAUUCCAGUCUUGGUUGGAAAUAGAAUCUCUGUAUUGAUUCAGGUAAAAACUGAACUUCACAGCAUGUUGGAGCAAAACAACCAGAUGAAAACUGAUGGUGUUGGAUUGUCAGACUGUAAUGUUGCAGCUCACAGCAGCUUUUCUAGCUCAGUUCAUUCUGACAUUCAGCUAUGAAUCAACACAGCAGAUGGUGAUCCAUGCUGUGGAAGUCUCACAUCUCCUGAUUUAAUGGAGCUGCUUUGCACUUUUUACACUGUUUAUUCACCAACACUUUAUUUAAUAAAAGUCCCAUCUAGUUUUUAUGAGGAAUGUGAUGUUUUAAUUUCUCUGUGAAUAACUGCAGUCUAAUGCAACAGCUGGAGUUGUAACAUCUGUCCUGAUAUUGAUCAUGAAGUAUUGAUCAGAAUACUUAUGGUUAGCAGUCAUCCCUGUAGUUUUACAUUAAAAUCUUUACUUGUGUUGUGAACUUUGGCAAGAAGCAGAAACGUUAGCGUUGCCAUGGAUACAUGAGUGUUAAAUUCUGUCCAUGUUUCCAUUUUGGGAAAUUCAGUCCAGUUCCAGAAUGUGGAGGAAUUUAGUCUCAAUCACAGACAACAAAUAUUAUCUGAAAGUCGGGUUAUUGUUGUUUAUCAGCACAAUACAAAAAGAUUAAUGUCAGAAAUAUUCCAGUUAAGACUCUAGAAUAUCAUGAUUUAUGUAAAUGUACCUCAAUAAUAUGAAUGUUCAGGUUAAGAUUGUACAGUGAUAUUUAUUAUGUAAGUUUAGCUGAUUAAAGUUUAUGACUCUGCACUAAAAUAUUAUUUAAAUUAACAUCAUUAUUAUAAUAUUUAGAGUCAGACCCUACAGUAUUGAGGUUAAGAAAUCAAAUAUUCUAUAAAAUGUAAAUACACUGAACUCAUUUGGAUAUAUUUAAGUGAGACUCUACAAUAUUAUUUGACACAAAUCUAUCUAAAUCAAAAUUUUAAUACUUUUCACGCCAAACACUUACUGGACUGAUUUAAAUAUUAAAAUCACUCCUUUCUAAUCCUCUGCUGUACGUUCAAACCUGAGGCCUUAAAUAGAAACACACAAGUAUCUGAUUGUAGGAACUUCUGCAGAGUCCUGGUUCCAGAACAUGAUGAUAAAAUUAUAGACAAACUUUAACAAAAGCUGCCUGAGAGUUUACAGGUUUUUAUGUUAGAUUUCUUCAGUAAUUUAUUGAGAGUUAUCAGCAAUAAUCAAGUGAUCAUUUGAUGAACUUCAUUUACUAAAACAUCCAGAAUUGGAGCUCAUAUCUUUGGCAGCUGUAAAGUUUCUGCUCCUUCAAAGUUCACAACACAAUGAAUGAAUUCCUAAAACACUCUCAAUGCUGGAGAGCGUUUGUGAUGCUGAAGCAGUGACCAAUUUUUCUGUUUCUUCUCUGGAGAUGCACAAUGAGGGACGUCUGCAGCGACUGAGAAAGAGUCUCACCACAUCCUGACAUGAGGAAAAAGACUUUAUUGAAGACUACAAUGAGAAAAACUAUCAGACAGCAGACGGCUGCAUUCAAGGCUACAGGAGGAGUCCUACGAGGACGAGCAGGUCCACCUGAUGGCGGCCAGUCGCUGUGGUUCAAAGCCAACACUGACUACGUGGACUUCUACUGGACCACACGGAGGCCUUCAAACCGGAACAACAAGUUCACCGACUCCCCGACUCGUGGGUCUGAGGACACCGCCGAGCCUCAGUCCAGCCGGCCUCCUUUCUGUGGGUGUUUGAGUGCUGAGAGGUUUGUGGAUGCGUGUGAACGUGUCUGUGUUGAAACAGCAGCUUUUGACUCAGGCCUUGUCCACACGUAGCCGGGUAUCUCACAAAACGAAGAUAUUUUUCUACGAUUCGGCUUAUCAUCCACACGAAAACGCAGAUUUACGUCAUCAAAAACGAUUCAUUUUAAAAACUCCGACCAAAGUGAAG